CUGGAGGACCGAACCGACUAAUGUUGAAAAAUUAGCGGAUGACUUGUGGCUGGGGGUGAAAGGCCAAUCAAACCGGGAGAUAGCUGGUUCUCCCCGAAAUCUAUUUAGGUAGAGCCUUGAGCGGACACCUUCGGGGGUAGAGCACUGUUUCGGCUAGGGGUCCAUCCCGGAUUACCAACCCGAUGCAAACUACGAAUACCGAAGAGUGAUACUCAGGAGACACACGGCGGGUGCUAACGUCCGUCGUGGAGAGGGAAACAACCCAGACCGCCAGCUAAGGUCCCAAAGUCUAUAUUAAGUGGGAAACGAAGUGGGAAGGCUUAGACAGCUAGGAUGUUGGCUUAGAAGCAGCCAUCAUUUAAAGAAAGCGUAAUAGCUCACUAGUCGAGUCGGCCUGCGCGGAAGAUGUAACGGGGCUCAAAUAUAGCACCGAAGCUGCGGCAUCAGUAGCAAUACUGUUGGGUAGGGGAGCGUUCUGUAAGCGGAUGAAGGUGGCUCGAGAGGGCUGCUGGACGUAUCAGAAGUGCGAAUGCUGACAUAAGUAACGAUAAAACGGGUGAAAAACCCGUUCGCCGGAAGACCAAGGGUUCCUGUCCAACGUUAAUCGGGGCAGGGUGAGUCGGCCCCUAAGGCGAGGCUGAAAAGCGUAGUCGAUGGGAAACGGGUUAAUAUUCCCGUACUUGGAUAAACUGCGAUGUGGGGACGGAGCAGGUUAGGUUAUCGCACUGUUGGAUAUGUGCGUUUAAGUUGGUAGGUGAGAAGUUUAGGCAAAUCCGGACUUCUAUCACACCGAGAGAUGAUGACGAGGCUCUACGGAGCUGAAGUAACCGAUACCACACUUCCAGGAAAAGCCACUAAGCUUCAGGUUUAUCUAAACCGUACUGAAAACCGACACAGGUGGUCAGGUAGAGAAUACUCAGGCGCUUGAGAGAACUCGGGUGAAGGAACUAGGCAAAAUAGCACCGUAACUUCGGGAGAAGGUGCGCCGGCGUAGAUUGUAGUCCCUAGCGGGCGAAGGUUGAACCGGUCGAAGAUACCAGCUGGCUGCAACUGUUUAUUAAAAACACAGCACUCUGCAAACACGAAAGUGGACGUAUAGGGUGUGAUGCCUGCCCGGUGCUGGAAGGUUAAUUGAUGGUGUAAUCGAAAGAGAAGCUCCUGAUCGAAGCCCCAGUAAACGGCGGCCGUAACUAUAACGGUCCUAAGGUAGCGAAAUUCCUUGUCGGGUAAGUUCCGACCUGCACGAAUGGCAUAAUGAUGGCCAGGCUGUCUCCACCCGAGACUCAGUGAAAUUGAAAUCGCCGUGAAGAUGCGGUGUACCCGCGGCUAGACGGAAAGACCCCGUGAACCUUUACUAUAGCUUGACACUGAACAUUGAAUUUUGAUGUGUAGGAUAGGUGGGAGCCUUUGAAGCAGUCACGCCAGUGAUUGUGGAGGCGUCCUUGAAAUACCACCCUUUAACGUUUGAUGUUCUAACGAAGAUUACGAAACGUGGUCUCGGACAGUGUCUGGUGGGUAGUUUGACUGGGGCGGUCUCCUCCCAAAGAGUAACGGAGGAGCACGAAGGUUUGCUAAUGACGGUCGGACAUCGUCAGGUUAGUGCAAUGGUAUAAGCAAGCUUAACUGCGAGACAGACAAGUCGAGCAGGUACGAAAGUAGGUCAUAGUGAUCCGGUGGUUCUGAAUGGAAGGGCCAUCGCUCAACGGAUAAAAGGUACUCCGGGGAUAACAGGCUGAUACCGCCCAAGAGUUCAUAU
Molecule: ribosomal RNA, 1756 nt
Filed under: Staphylococcus epidermidis
Lineage: Bacteria; Bacillati; Bacillota; Bacilli; Caryophanales; Staphylococcaceae
Description: partial 23S ribosomal RNA
Rfam family: Bacterial large subunit ribosomal RNA
Source: RNAcentral